GUGAACUAAUGAUCACCUUUACAAAAUAUUCAUUAACAUACAUAACUAGAGGAAGAAGCCCUGUCUAACUCUAUGUUAAUGAUCAUGAUAAUAUAAAAGUAAAAUUGUUCUUAAAAUAACUCGAUAUAAAGAACAUACACGUCUAAUUAACCAGAUCAGUACUUGUGUUCAAGUGAAAGCUGAACUUCUUUUCGAGCUUCCUUCUUCUAGUCUUCUUCUCCUUCCCUACAUGACUCGUCAAAGACGUGCCAUAUAUAGUCACGAAUUUAACUGUAUUUAACAUUUUUAACACGAAAUGCAUGUAAUUUGUAUAUAUCCAAAAAUUGCUAAAAUUAGAAUGAAUACUGAAUUUUCAAAUCAUAAACAAAAAUGUUGAACUCAAUAAAUCUAAAUCUUAGAUUCACCUGUGGCUAGCCAGUUUAUAUAAUUGAGUGUGGUUGCUUUUCUAAAAGAAGAGCUAUCGAUUGAUCGCUAAGUCAAACGUAUCCAUAUAUAUAUAUAUAUAUAUAUAUAUAUAAUACUCAUUAAAUCUAAAUCUUAAAUUCUACCCCAGAUUAACAUAUAUAACUAGAUGUAUCAGGUUUAAUUUGAUUGUUUGCCUGAAGAAAGGGUUAUCUAAUCUAAUCAUCAACUAUGUAGGUAAAUCAUACAUAACAAUAUAUCUAACAAAAAAGAAAAACAUAAAAUCUAAACCUCAGAUUCACUCCUGACUAGCCAGUUCCUUAUAUAAGUAAAUGUAUGCUGAAUUUGGUUGCUAGUUUGAAAGAAGGACUAUCUCAUCUGAUCAACUACAAAUAUUUAACAAAGAAAAAGUUCUAAAGGAUCAUCAAUCAACCUACCGAUUUGAUAUAGGAUUUACCCCACUUGGAACUUCAUGAUCAGCAACUAUAAAUUCUCUAGGGUUACUAUUGUCAUCAGAAUAAGAAGAAGAGGAGGAGGAGAAUGAGUCAUCAGGAUUUCUAGGAAUUUUUCUUGAGUGAAAUUUCAUUGUUAUUUCAGCAGAAUUAGGAAAAGCAGAAGAAUUUGAAUGAAAAAGGAUCAGAAAAAUAAAGAAAAAGGUAAACAAGAAAAGAAAGGAGAUUUCUGAGUUUCUGGAUGCCAUAAUCUGAAACAAUAGUAGGCAGGAAAAAAAGAAACUAAAAAUGGAGAUUAAGUU
RNAcentral lists this long non-coding RNA (1156 nucleotides) under Capsicum annuum. RNAcentral's name for it is "long non-coding RNA (CANN_LNC010643)". The record is from RNAcentral. Lineage: Eukaryota; Viridiplantae; Streptophyta; Magnoliopsida; Solanales; Solanaceae.